Molecule: transfer RNA, 64 nt
Filed under: Setodes brevicaudatus
Lineage: Eukaryota; Metazoa; Arthropoda; Insecta; Trichoptera; Leptoceridae
Description: tRNA-Glu
Source: RNAcentral
AUUUAUAUAGUUUAAAAAAAACUAUACAUUUUCAUUGUAUCAAUAAAAAAUUUUUUUAUAAAUU